This 429-nucleotide ribosomal RNA is filed under the name Listeria monocytogenes. Its description in RNAcentral is "partial 23S ribosomal RNA". It matches the Rfam family "Bacterial large subunit ribosomal RNA", at positions 1 to 415 of the family's 2925-position model. The record is from RNAcentral. Lineage: Bacteria; Bacillati; Bacillota; Bacilli; Caryophanales; Listeriaceae.
AGUAAAUUGGUUAAGUUAGAAAGGGCGCACGGUGGAUGCCUUGGCACUAGGAGCCGAAGAAGGACGGGACUAACACCGAUAUGCUUUGGGGAGCUGUACGUAAGCGUUGAUCCAGAGAUUUCCGAAUGGGGGAACCCACUAUCUUUAGUCGGAUAGUAUCCUUACGUGAAUACAUAGCGUGAGGAAGGCAGACCCAGGGAACUGAAACAUCUAAGUACCUGGAGGAAGAGAAAGAAAAAUCGAUUUCCUGAGUAGCGGCGAGCGAAACGGAAAGAGCCCAAACCAAGAAGCUUGCUUCUUGGGGUUGUAGGACACUCUAUACGGAGUUACAAAAGAAAGUUAUAAAUGAAGCGGUCUGGAAAGGCCCGCCAAAGACGGUAACAGCCCGGUAGUUGAAAUGGCUUUCCCUCCAGAGUGGAUCCUGAGUAC